UACGUAGGGGGCAAGCGUUAUCCGGAUUUACUGGGUGUAAAGGGAGCGUAGACGGCUUGAUAAGUCUGAAGUGAAAGGCCAAGGCUUAACCAUGGAACUGCUUUGGAAACUAUGAGGCUAGAGUGCUGGAGAGGUAAGCGGAAUUCCUAGUGUAGCGGUGAAAUGCGUAGAUAUUAGGAGGAACACCAGUGGCGAAGGCGGCUUACUGGACAGAAACUGACGUUGAGGCUCGAAAGCGUGGGGAGCAAACA
RNAcentral lists this ribosomal RNA (251 nucleotides) under uncultured bacterium. RNAcentral's name for it is "partial 16S ribosomal RNA". It matches the Rfam family "Bacterial small subunit ribosomal RNA", at positions 524 to 774 of the family's 1533-position model. The record is from RNAcentral.